GGGAGCUUAGCUCAGCUGGUUCAGAGCAUCUGCCUUACAAGCAGAGGGUCACAGGUUCGAACCCUGUAGCUCCCA
Molecule: transfer RNA, 75 nt
Filed under: Flavobacterium sp.
Lineage: Bacteria; Pseudomonadati; Bacteroidota; Flavobacteriia; Flavobacteriales; Flavobacteriaceae
Also listed under: 6 other names
Description: tRNA-Val
Rfam family: tRNA
About the family: Transfer RNA (tRNA) molecules are approximately 80 nucleotides in length. Their secondary structure includes four short double-helical elements and three loops (D, anti-codon, and T loops).
Source: RNAcentral